AGCAGCCGCGGUAAUUCCAGCUCCAAUAGCGUAUAUUAAAGUUGUUGCAGUUAAAAAGCUCGUAGUUGAAUUUCGGGAUCAAUAUGUCGGUCGUGCCUUCGGUACGUACUGGUAUCAUUGGUCUCUCCUUUCUGACGAACCAUGAUGUCAUUAAUUUGGUGUUAUGGGGAGUUAGGACUGUUACUUUGAAAAAUUAGAGUGUUUAAAGCAGGCUUUAGCUUGAAUACAUUAGCAUGGGAUAAUGAAAUAGGACGUUCGAACCUAUUUUGUUGGUUUCUAGGAUCAACGUAAUGAUUAAUAGGGAUAGUUGGGGGCAUUAGUAUUCAAUUGUCAGAGGUGAAAUUCUUGGAUUUAUUGAAGACUAACUACUGCGAAAGCAUUUGCCAAGGAUGUUUUCAUUAAUCAAGAACGAAAGUUAGGGGAUCGAAGACGAUCAGAUACCGUCGUAGUCUUAACCAUAAACUAUGCCGACUAGGGAUCGGAUGAUGUUAAUUUUUUAAUGACUCAUUCGGCGCCUUAC
This 520-nucleotide unclassified non-coding RNA is filed under the name uncultured Glomus. Its description in RNAcentral is "SSU rRNA". It matches the Rfam family "Eukaryotic small subunit ribosomal RNA", at positions 569 to 1091 of the family's 1831-position model. The record is from RNAcentral. Lineage: Eukaryota; Fungi; Glomeromycota; Glomeromycetes; Glomerales; Glomeraceae.